GAAGGCCUAUGAUGUUAUAUAUUUUAUGUAUUGCCUACAUUGUUUGAUUAUCUAUUCUGAUAAAUGUAAUCAGCUAAUUGUUCUGAGGCCUCC
Molecule: small nucleolar RNA, 93 nt
Organism: Humulus lupulus (European hop)
Lineage: Eukaryota; Viridiplantae; Streptophyta; Magnoliopsida; Rosales; Cannabaceae
Product: small nucleolar RNA SNORD34
Exons: 1
Source: RefSeq, a predicted model, not a curated record